RNAcentral lists this ribosomal RNA (409 nucleotides) under uncultured bacterium. Its description in RNAcentral is "bacterial SSU rRNA". It matches the Rfam family "Bacterial small subunit ribosomal RNA", at positions 354 to 777 of the family's 1533-position model. The record is from RNAcentral.
GUGGGGGAUAUUGCACAAUGGGCGAAAGCCUGAUGCAGCGACGCCGCGUGAGGGAAGACGGCCUUCGGGUUGUAAACCUCUGUCAUUCGGGACGAAUUAGAUGACGGUACCGAAGAAGGAAGCUCCGGCUAACUACGUGCCAGCAGCCGCGGUAAUACGUAGGGAGCGAGCGUUGUCCGGAAUUACUGGGUGUAAAGGGAGCGUAGGCGGGAAAGCAAGUUGGAAGUGAAAUGCAUGGGCUUAACCCAUGAGCUGCUUUCAAAACUGUUUUUCUUGAGUGAAGUAGAGGCAGGCGGAAUUCCUAGUGUAGCGGUGAAAUGCGUAGAUAUUAGGAGGAACACCAGUGGCGAAGGCGGCCUGCUGGGCUUUAACUGACGCUGAGGCUCGAAAGCGUGGGUAGCAAACAGGA